GACGGAGGGCGCAAGCGUUGUUCGGAAUUACUGGGCGUAAAGCGCGGGCAGGCGGUUUGCUAAGUCUUUUGUGAAAAUCCGGAGCUCAACUUCGGAAAUGCAGAAGAUACUGACAGACUGGAGACCGGUAGAGGCUAGCGGAAUUCCUGGUGUAGCGGUGGAAUGCGUAGAUAUCAGGAAGAACACCUGUGGCGAAGGCGGCUAGCUGGGCCGGAUCUGACGCUCAUCCGCGAAAGCGUGGGGAGCAAACAGG
This 253-nucleotide ribosomal RNA is filed under the name uncultured bacterium. Its description in RNAcentral is "partial 16S ribosomal RNA". It matches the Rfam family "Bacterial small subunit ribosomal RNA", at positions 524 to 776 of the family's 1533-position model. The record is from RNAcentral.